CCUACGGGUGGCAGCAGUGAGGAAUAUUGGUCAAUGGGCUUACGCCUGAACCAGCCAAGUCGCGUGAGGGAAGACUGCCCUAUGGGUUGUAAACCUCUUUUGUCAGGGAGCAAUUGGCGCUACGUGUAGUGUUAUCGAGAGUACCUGAAGAAAAAGCAUCGGCUAACUCCGUGCCAGCAGCCGCGGUAAUACGGAGGAUGCGAGCGUUAUCCGGAUUUAUUGGGUUUAAAGGGUGCGUAGGCGGAAUGCCAAGUCAGCGGUAAAAUCGCGGGGCUCAACCUCGCUCCGCCGUUGAAACUGGCGUUCUUGAGUGGGCGAGAAGUAUGCGGAAUGCGUGGUGUAGCGGUGAAAUGCAUAGAUAUCAUACAGAACACCGAUUGCGAAGGCAGCUUACCAAGCUACUUCUGACGUUGAGGCACGAAAGCGUGGGGAGCAAACAGGAUUAGAUACCCGAGUAGUC
Molecule: ribosomal RNA, 460 nt
Filed under: uncultured bacterium
Lineage: Bacteria
Description: partial 16S ribosomal RNA
Rfam family: Bacterial small subunit ribosomal RNA
Source: RNAcentral